This 404-nucleotide unclassified non-coding RNA is filed under the name soil metagenome. RNAcentral's name for it is "partial contains 5.8S ribosomal RNA, internal transcribed spacer 2, and large subunit ribosomal RNA". The stretch from base 1 to 122 matches the Rfam family "5.8S ribosomal RNA", at positions 35 to 154 of the family's 154-position model. The record is from RNAcentral.
GAUGAAGAACGCAGUAAAAUGCGAUACUUGGUGUGAAUUGCAGAAUCCCGUGAACCAUCGAGUUUUUGAACGCAAGUUGCGCCCAAAGCCUUUUGGCCGAGGGCACGUCUGCCUGGGCGUCACGCAUCGCGUCGCCCCCCACAAUUCUUCGUAAAGGGAACAUGUGUUUUGGGGGCGGAUAUUGGUCUCCCGUGCUCAUGGCGUGGUUGGCCGAAAUAGGAGUCCUUUCGAUGGACGCACGAACUAGUGGUGGUCGUAAAAACCCUCGUCUUUUGUUUCGUGCUGUUGCUCGCAAGGUAAACUCUUUAAAAACCCCAAUGUGUCGUCUCUUGACGACGCUUCGACCGCGACCCCAGGUCAGGCGGGACUACCCGCUGAGUUUAAGCAUAUCAAUAAGCGGAGGA